Molecule: small RNA, 6957 nt
Filed under: Rattus norvegicus (Norway rat)
Lineage: Eukaryota; Metazoa; Chordata; Mammalia; Rodentia; Muridae
Description: uncharacterized LOC102549089
Source: RNAcentral
GUGUGUGUGUGUGUGUGUGUGUGUGUGUGUGUGUGUGUGUUCUCUCUAGAGCUGCCUCAACUCCUGUUAAGGCAAGGACAGUGUAUGCACAGGAUUGCACUGGAGCUGGGGUUCCAGGAAACAGUAAGUGGUCCCCUGUGAGGGCAACAGCUGAGCCGUCUCUGCAGCUCUUGAUCUGCCUUUCAAUGGAGCUCAACAGGUUGACUUUGAAAUUCAACAUUUCACAAGAACCUCUUGUCAUGAAUCCUUGUUUUAAGAAUAGUUCAAACAACACGUUUAUGUUGUUACUGCAUUUUUUUCAUGCCUGCCAUUGAGACCACAUACAGUGCCAUCUAACCAGAAAAAACAAUUUCAUUUUUCAUUAUAGUUCCUUUAUACAUAGAUUACAAGGCUAAACCAAUGUUAAAAGGUGGCUAUUUGACAAAAGCAACUAAGGAAAAAGGAGACCAUGAUUUUGGGAGGGAGCGAUGCGAAGGUUUACUGAAGAGGAAGGGGACAUUAUAUGGUCCUUUAACUUUUACAAAAGAUAAUAAAGCCCCAGAUGGUCUCUGGACACAUUCACCUUCUUAAUCCAGUCACUCAACGUGUCAGAGCCAUGAGAGUAGGACUGUGUGCUUUUACACUGCCAUAGAACUUACCAUUCCUUGGUUAUUUUACAAGUUAUAGCCUCCUACCUUUCAAACUAUUUACCAUAAGCAAAAGAUGUAUUGUUCUUGAUACAAAGACUUCUUUUUCUAAAUUUCUGAGUGUGAAAAAAGACUAGGAAAAGCCAAAUGAGUAUAUUACAUAAACUAGGGUACGAUUGGCCAAUAAUAAAAGUAAAAAGAAACUAUGUGGAAACUGCAGUCCAUCUUCAUUUGAAUUUAAUGCUGAUUUUUUUUUUUAAAAAAGCCUCUUGGAAGAAAUUAUUUUUGAAUAAUUCAGUAUUAAUACACUUAAGCAAAUGCAUGUUUCUGCCAGAAAAUCAAAAGAAAACUUCAAGGGAGAGGAAAACUUUUAUUUGUUCUUUCUACCGUACCUCAACUAUGACCUCACAUAACCUAAAAAGCUGCCUCAGAGGCUCUAGAGGGAAGAGCCCCCCAAUGUACCCAGACCAGUUGUUACUCUGAGCAUGAGAAGUCGUUUUCUUCCUGUUAUCAGAAGAGCUGGCGCUUGUGUGUCCAGCCCUCAAUAUGACUGCUUGUGCUUUGGGGACAAAGGGGUCUUUGCACUCUUAUUUAUGGCUUCUUCGUAUUUCCCUACAAUAACCCCAUUCAGAGAAAUAAGGGCAUAUUUGUUUUCGUCAUUCCAUGUAAGCGCGCUCUGAAAGGCAAGAUAACUGCUGGAAAAAUCUACACAGAUUACUGGAAUGCAGAGCUGAGCCGUUCUUUAAGGAACUUGUUGAGGCAGACUUCAGACCCCAGCGAGGGCCUCGUGGGGACCUGCAGUAGGACCAACUGGGGACUCCAGAGUGGACACUUCAUCCCUCAGGUGUGGAUUUUAACAGAGUGAUUACUGAAGCACAGCGCCCUAAAGAACUGGUAACUCAAAGGUAGAAUAUGCGGUGCUGCCGAUGAAUGGAUAUGGCACAGGGGUGCUUAACUUUCGAUUGUUCUAGAUGCCUGUCUUGUGUUUCCAGAGAAAGGUUCAGGAAUGUCAAUGGGACAAUGCUAUUUGAACCACUUCCAGUCAAUAAGUGUGAAAAAUUAUCCUUUUUAUAAAAGAUGUAUUUAUUUAUUUCUACUAAUUAGGAAAAUUGAAAACAAACUACCAAGUAAGGAGAGCUGAGUUUUGGUUCUGAAACAUGCCUUCUGAAUGGGAGUGUCCUAUGGAUCUGGGAAUGGGUGUCCAUUACUCAGGCCACAGUCACUACAUAAUUAGCAUGUCUCCUUGGUGAGGGACGAAUGAAGUGGACGUUAGGGUUGGAUGGUCAGAGCUGACACCAAGUUUCUGGUAUUUAAGGAGCUUUAACUUUUAUUUGGGCUGGGGCAAUUCUAGAUGUUUGAAAUGAAAAUCCAGCAGUUCUCCCAAUGAACACACAACUGAAAUAUAGCCUGUUUUCCCUCUUUAAAGGAGGCACCGGAGAUAUGGUUCUGCCAUUAAGAGCACUGGCUGUUCUUCCAGAGGACCCAGGUUCAAUUCCCAGCACCUAUAAGGCAGCUCACAAGCAUCUAUAACACCAGUUCCAGGGGAUCUUGUGUCCUCUUCCAGUCUCCACGGACAUUGGGCACACGUGUGGUAAACAGACCCCUGCGAACGAUCAAAGAUGGAGAAAUGAGCAGUCCUCAAGCAACAACGCCCUCCUAAUGCGCAAGCGCGCCCGGAGGCCCCGCCCCUCGCGGUCACCCCAAGACCAGGCGCGCGCAUCGGAAGUCAGAACCUCCAAGGCUCCUCCUUGCUCUUCCUCCACAAGGCCCCGCGUUCGCAGUCCGGUUCCGGUUGUAGCUCCGCCCUCGCGCGGGAACACGCCAGAAGGCUGGAUAUCCGGGACGGGAGGCUAGCUGAGCGCUCACUUCCGGUGGCAGCUCGUCCCAUCUCCCUUGAGGGGCAGGCUCUGGCUCUCGGUGCGGUAGCGCCAUCUGGCGCCGAGUGUUCCUCAGCCCGCGGAGGGGCGUGCUUCCUCCCUUCAGAACAUUCCAGAGACUCCUCGGCUCUGGUAGGCUUUAUGCAUUCCGCCAGAAGGGCGGGACCCAAGACUCCUCCUCUGCCGAGUUCCCGCGCGGGAAGGGUUUUGUGGUUACUCUGAGCGGAAAUGGUUGGAGUCCAGAAGGGGAACGGACCUCAAGCGGGAGGAAGCCGGCCUCUUUCCGUCUUUUCAAGCCAUAGUAACACAGUUCCUGCCUCCUCGUGUUCUGCUUUUUGUUUCCUCAUUUCUGGGCCGCGCUCUCUGUACACUGCGCUUCGGUUCUUCGGUCGGAGUGGACCGAGGUCCUCCAUUUCUCGUUUUGCAGAGAGAAGGCUUUACUUUGUAGCCUUUCGUUAGCUUGUGUUAGAAAAAUAUUUUGCUCCAUUACAUCCGUUAAGCGGGUGUUGCGAAAACGAGCAGUAUUAGGGAUUAGGAAAAUUAAUAGGUUUUUAAACCAAGACAGUCUCAGCAGGUUUAUCUCAGAACUAUGAAAUAUUCGCUAUGAUUGCAUGUGGUUCUUUCCUUUAGAUAAGGGGAAACGAAUUUCCACCAAAGCUAGAAAGUGAACAUAACUGUUAAAGGGUUCAUGUUUCAAAGUCCAGAUAUAAUAAACUUGGAGCACUGUUAGGUAUUGUUUCAGUUAUUGUGUAUCAAGACGCACAGUGUAAGUUAGUGAAUUGUCCCUUAUUUGUGCUCACUUGUCACUGGGCAUUUUCCCCCCCUACAGCACUGGUUUCCCUACUUGUGCAUGCAUUUGAAUUCAGAAGACUUUGAAGAGUCCGGUUCACUACAGUUUAGGACUGGGAGAGGUGAUGUGGAAGGAGAGCUGGGUGAUUAAGGCCCACAGUUGGAAUCGUUUAGAAUUCAAGAUUGCUUUGUUGAGAGCGCUGUUUGCUGGUUUUGCAGUAUUGACACUGAAACCCGACAGGUUAGUAGCCUUUCCGGCCAGUGCAAUGGGAGUAAACGAAGCGCUAAAUCCAUGUCUUUUGUACAGUCACACAUUAGGAAAACACGUUCAUAUAAGUAGACUCUGUCGUAGAGGGUGCUGUAACACCAGGUAUACUAAAUUUCUUAAUUACGAUGCCAUUUCUGUCUUCAAAGUUUCUUGAAAAUCGGUAACUCAAAAAAGGACAAAAAUCACUUCAACAGACAUUUAACCUCCUGGAAGAUAAUCUUUUAAAAAUCCCUUUCCUUUUGUAACUUCUUUGUAGUUCAUUCUUUUCACUGAGUCAUUGCCCCUUACCCCUACUAUGUAAUUUAAAAUCUUCACGCUGCUUUCGGUUUUUUUUUGUUUGUUUGGUUGGUUUUUUUUUGUUUUGUUUUGUUUUUUAAGAGCAAGCUUCCUGAAGCCUUUGUAUUCUGAGUUUGACAGUGGCAUUUGACCCUAAGCUAUCGGUAAAUGCCUUACUCUCGGUAACCCUUCCUUUUGUACCCAAUAGAAAUACAGCUGUUCAUAGAUAGGCUUGCCGUGUUCGUAGCUAAAGUUAUUCCUAAAAGUAAUUUUUUAAUACUAAAAAGUUAAGUUGUUUACUGAAGUUGUGAGUGAUUACUAUAAAGAUUAUAUUGCCUUUAAUUACAAGAUAGUGUAUCUAACUGUGAAGAUAAGUGAAAUGGUAUUUUUAUAAUGACUCAGUAAGACUUCCAUUACCAGGCACUAGUGAGAUGGCUCGGGGGUUAAGUCUGGCUCCAGGCAUGCACACGGUACACAGACAUACAUAAAAUAAUAAUACACAUAAACUGCGUAUACAAAAAUAAUAAUAAAUAAAAUAGGAUAUUCUAACUCCAUUGUUUUUAGUGAUUAAACAUGAGAAAAUUCCAAAUCAGAGAUCCCUCCCCGCCUUCCUCCCUCUCCCUCCUUUUUAAUCCUUCUCUCUCUUCUUCCUCACUAACCUGAAUGAGUUUCCAUUUAAAGGGACAUAGGGAGGUAGCAGGGUGCCUUCAAAUAACUGUUAACAAGUAUUUAUACUAAUGAGACAAAAGCACACAUCCUCCUCUUCAUUUUAAACCAGCCUUGUAGUAAAAAAGGAACCCGUGUGUGUUCAUUACUUGCUCCUAUGUGCACACGUGUGUGUCACUUGCUGUGUUUAAAGAGCUUAAUACAUUUGCUGGCUGGUACUUCUCUACGAUGGCUGCGCCAUUGCCAUUUAUCCAGAGUAAUUUUGUCAAUAGGCAUUACAUGAAAUGAUGUUGAAAUUUACUUUCAAUAUUGUUUGGUAAUACUUGACACAAAAAAUCAGGGCUUCUUCAUCAGGCUUUUUUUGAACUGAAAUUUCUAGGCUAGGUCAGGUGGAGCACAUCUGCAGUCUGAGCCCUCAGGAGAUGCAGGGGAUCCAGUUUCCAAAAGCAGUUUUAAAAAGUAAUUUCUAUUACUAAUUUCUUUGUGGUUCCAUUUUCUUUAGUUCAUGCUUCUUAAAUUUUCUGAUAUAUAAAUGAAUGUGUAAUGAAUAUCUGUACAAAAAAGCAUUUUUUAAAGGAAAAAAAAGAGAAAAGCAUAUUCACGAAUGUUUUAAUGAUUCUUUGCUACAGUCAGUGUGCUGUGUAGCUGUUUAAAUUUUCCUUUUCGGGGCAAUGCCUGCAUUUGUGCGUGACUCACAGCAUGCACCAACUUUUUUCCCUGAAAUUCUCAUCAUUUUUCUUGUUACUUCCAGUGGACUCUGCAGACUUCACACUGUCUAAUAAUGUGUUCUCAGACUCUCUAGUCUUUUGUCUUGGUCCAUUUUAAAAUCUCAUCGAAGUUGUCGUUUCAAGCUGGUUUUUGGAAAUAAAUUAGAAUUAAUACUGCUGAGUUCAUCUUAAUGGCUCAUAUUCCCCUGUGGUGAAUUAAAUUUAUUGUUGCGUUUUCAGAAUGAUUUUUCUUACUCAUGAUCAGUAGGAGACCAUACGCUGAGUUACCUGAUCUAAUUGGGCUUAGGAGUAAAGUACAGCCUUUUUAGGGGGAGGUGUGGAGGCCAGCCUUGAACCUGUGAUUCUGCUGUCUCAGCCUCUUGAAUGCUGGGAUUCCAGGCCUGUGCCCACAAAGUGAGAACACUGAGGCAGAUGGUACAGUUUUCUGUUUGGUGAUUAUUACAUUUUAAGAUUUCCAAACUUUAUAUGGAAAAAUUAUCACAUGUAUUUUAUAAAGUAUUAAACUGUAUCCCUCUGCUAGAUUCAGCAGUGGCACAUGCAAGGCUGCCAUAGUCUAAUUCCCAGAGCUGUGACAAACAUCAUAACAGAAGCAGCUUGGGGAGGAGAGGGUCUAUUUUAUCUCACACUUCUCUGUCGCUCCUUGAACCAUCAUUAGACCCAUGCAUGUGUAGGUAACAGUUAACCACAUUAAACUCCACAGGAGCCCAGGAGAUGACUCAGUGGUUAAUUCACAAGGACUGGAGCUUGGAUCCUCAGGCCCCGCAUAGAGGCUGUGGGCGUGGUGACCCACCUGCAGUUCUAGCCUGGGAAGGUGAAGAACGGACCUCAAAACAAGUUGUCUAGGGAGUCCAGCCAUUCAGUGAACUCUGUCUUGGACUGAGAGAUCUGCCUUACUGAACAAGGAAGAAGAAUGAAGAGUACACCCACAUACACACUCACACAUGUGCUUACACACAGAUAGAUGUGUGUAUGCACACAUGCAAAGUACACAUAAUAAAAAUGGGAAAAUACACAGUUCAUCUCUUACAGAUGGGCAAUCAGAGUAGAGUGAAAAAUUACCCAUCAUGGAGGGCCAAUGAAUAAACGACCACAGAUAGAAACUUAAUGGGGACCCUGAAAGAAGAGAGAGAGAAGUAGGACUUUGAAGACAUGAUGAUCAUUAAAACUUCUGGAGCAUAUACUAAAUCUGUUUCUACAUCUUUGGCCUUAACCAAUGAGAAGAGAAUCACACUCACUCUAGCAGGGGCAGUGUGAAGUGUAAGGAAACCUUUGCAACAUCUGUGAGUUACGUUACAGCGUUAAAGCCAGAGAUAAGCCAUCAACUUGCUUCUGCUAACAGCAAUGCUUACGAGAUAUAAUGGCCUUCAGAUUCCUUCACAGCAUUAGUGAAAUUCUGUGGGAAAUCAUGAGAAAUUGUUUCAAAUUGUCAAAAACCACUCCAAAUUUAGCAGUACUUUAAAUAUCCAAAACAUCAAUGUUUUGAGGAGAAAGGGAAUAAAUUUUCUAUAAGCUGUAUUAGACAUUGAACCAUACAAUAUUUUGCUUUGUUUCCUUUGAGAAAAUGUCUUACUGUUGUAGCCCAGGCUGGCCCAAGCUCCAGAGUCUUCUGCCUCUACCUAGAGAAUGCUGAUAUGGUAGAUUUACAUCCAUCAUCUUCUGGCUUGGAACUUUACUGUCCUAAAACGUUUUAAUUAGCCAUUAAAUGCACGUUGUUUUUUGUGGUACAA